UACGUAGGUGGCAAGCGUUGUCCGGAAUUAUUGGGCGUAAAGCGCGCGCAGGCGGCCUUUUAAGUCUGAUGUGAAAGCCCACGGCUUAACCGUGGAGGUGCAUUGGAAACUGGAAGGCUUGAGGAUAUAAGAGGAAAGCGGAAUUCCACGUGUAGCGGUGAAAUGCGUAGAGAUGUGGAGGAACACCAGUGGCGAAGGCGGCUUUCUAGUAUAUAACUGACGCUGAGGCGCGAAAGCGUGGGGAGCAAACAGG
RNAcentral lists this ribosomal RNA (253 nucleotides) under uncultured Sporosarcina sp. RNAcentral's name for it is "partial 16S ribosomal RNA". It matches the Rfam family "Bacterial small subunit ribosomal RNA", at positions 524 to 776 of the family's 1533-position model. Lineage: Bacteria; Bacillati; Bacillota; Bacilli; Caryophanales; Caryophanaceae. The record is from RNAcentral.